UUCUCGAUGGCUUAGUGGUGAGAGCGUCGGACUUGUUAUUUGAAGGUUGCGGGUUCGAGUCCCGCUCGAGGAG
Harmonia axyridis is the source of this 73-nucleotide non-coding RNA. Lineage: Eukaryota; Metazoa; Arthropoda; Insecta; Coleoptera; Coccinellidae. The record is from the annotation of a RefSeq genome assembly.